RNAcentral lists this long non-coding RNA (990 nucleotides) under Hordeum vulgare. RNAcentral describes it as "long non-coding RNA (HVUL_LNC000196)". The record is from RNAcentral. Lineage: Eukaryota; Viridiplantae; Streptophyta; Magnoliopsida; Poales; Poaceae.
UAACAACCACCACCAGUAUUGGUCCCAAGCAAGUUGGCUAUGCUUUAGAGUGAAAGAUUGGACGAUUAUUUGCCAACAAUGAAUAACAUUCAUAUGUACAUUGCACCGCAGAGAACAGUUACCUUGCACUAUACACGAGCCACACUACCCCCCACGCAGUGAAAAUUGUUGCAAACCGAACGGGCAACCUUCUUUACCAUGACCAACCUUCGAGUUUCGAUCACCUGACACGUGUACGUACAUACUAUGAGCAUGGAUUCAGGCCAAUCGGAUCAAAGCUAGGCGGCGUUGUUGCCGCCGCGGAGGUCCUCGAAGCUCCAGUCCCGGCGGAUGGCGCCGCUGCGCCGGAGACGCGGCGUCGGCGAGGCCCCGUCGCCGAGCCGCGCCACGUCCACGUCCGCCACCGACGACUUGCACUUGCGCACCAUCUUCUUGAUCAUCGUCUUGGUCGCCGCCGCCGCCCUCUUCGUCGGCGUCGUCGGCUGCUUCGGCUGCUUCUGCUGCUGCUGAUGCUGCCCAUCCCCCUCCUCCGGCCCCUCCUCCUCCUCUAUGGCGCCGACGUCGUCGGCGUCGUCCAGCGUCAAGGCCGCCGAGCCGGGCGUCCUCACCGGGGCGAACCGCGUCUGCGUCGGCUUCCCGUCCGCCGCGAAGCCCCGCUGCAGCGCCGUGCAGCACGUGGCCGUCUGCGGCUGCAGAUCGGNCCGUCGUCGCCGCCGCCGCCGCCGCCGCGGCUGGGCGCCAGGUUACACGUCAGGUGCGCCUUGCUGCCGGUCGCCUUCAUCGAUCCCCGCGCCGUCGAUCGAACGGAAACGCGCGUAGUAGUAUACUAAUUAAUUGGACAGAACGAGGGACGUCCGGCCGGCGAGCUCCAUGGAUGGAUCCAUUUUAUCCUCUGCAUGCAUGCUAGGGCGGCACCCGGCCUCCGCGGGCUAAUUAUGGAUGUGUUUACCUAAAUCUGGAUGUAACAUAGCUGCAACGCGUGUCUCAAAC